This 275-nucleotide small nuclear RNA is filed under the name Callithrix jacchus (white-tufted-ear marmoset). Its description in RNAcentral is "7SK RNA". It matches the Rfam family "7SK RNA", at positions 1 to 284 of the family's 331-position model. Rfam says of the family: 7SK was discovered as an abundant small nuclear RNA in the mid-70s but a possible function has only recently been suggested. Lineage: Eukaryota; Metazoa; Chordata; Mammalia; Primates; Cebidae. The record is from Rfam by way of RNAcentral.
GGAUAUGAGGGCGAUCUAGCUACAACAUCUGUCACCCUGUUGAUGGCCAGGGUUGAUCCGGCUGAUCUGGCUGCCGAGGCGGGUGUCCCCUUCCUUCCUCACCGCUCCACGUGCAUCCCUCCGGAAGUUGCAUGCUAGGUUGAAGAGGAUGACCAUCCCCAAUAGAGGAGGACCGGACUUUGGUCAAGGGUAUACAAGUAGCGACACUCCCCUGCUAGAAACUCCAAACAAGCUCUCAAGUUCCAGAAGGAAGUGAAAGAAGAAAACCAAAGUGU